Molecule: long non-coding RNA, 1482 nt
Organism: Coregonus clupeaformis (lake whitefish)
Lineage: Eukaryota; Metazoa; Chordata; Actinopteri; Salmoniformes; Salmonidae
Exons: 5
Source: RefSeq, a predicted model, not a curated record
CUCAUCUAUACUGUGUCAUAUGAUGUUUCCCCAACGUGUAGACAUGUAUACAUAUUAGAAUAGACCUAUUAUCUACAUCAGAAAAUGAUAUCUGUACACUUUGAAAGGAUAAUCCAAACAUAGUGAAAAUUAAAAACUUGAAACUGUGACAAAGUAGCUCAAACUGAGAGUAAGUAUUAGAAGAGGAAGGGGACGGACAGAGGGGUAUACCACGGAGCCAUGGAGUUCAACAGCACAUCUCCAGACAUUUCAACCCGAGACCCUGGAACGGUCCCUGUGUACUAUGUACUCAUCCCCUUCACAGGGUUCACAGUGAUAGGGUGCGUGAUAGCACUGGUCGUUUACAUACGAAGGAAAAUAAAACAGGACGGGCUUCGCCACAUGCUGAUUUCCCAGUUCAGCUCUGAUCACAGUGAGGAAGACUAUCAAGACAGAGAUGAGGAUCAGGAAGAGAUGGAGCCUCUCUAUAUGGAUGGAAAGCUGUCGUUCAACCAGGCACGUGCACAGAUAGGGCUCUAGGAGUCUCCAGGGGGUGCUGGAGCGCCUGCCCUUCUGCCCUCAUAGGCGAAAAGUGCCCUUUUGAUUGGUGACAGUUUAUAAACAAAUUGCUUUUGUUUUCUCUCUUUUCUCUCUUAUUAUGUACAUUUUAAAUGUAACAAAUUUCUCAUCAAACAAGCCCAUCCCCUGCCCUUCUGCGGAUUUCUUCUUGAGGAUUUCUGCAUGUCUGCCUGAAGGGAAUUCUUCUUGAGGAUUUCUGUAUGUCUGCCUGAAGGGAAUUCUUCUUGAGGAUUUCUGCAUGUCUGCCUGAAGGGAAUUCUUCUUGAGGAUUUCUGCAUGUCUGCCUGAAGGGACACAGAAACUAUAGACUGGCCUUCCCUUCCCUUCCUUUACACUUAUCAAAAAGAAGACUGGCUGCAUGUAUCCCAAUUCUCCGCCCUUCUCCCUAAGUGUGUACUUGCACACUUUCUCAAAUGGAUUUAAAAGGGGGCGAAGAAUCAGGAUGCAUCCGCUAUGCAUGUCAAGACUCAGAAGUUGGUUUACUUUCUGAAUAGAUUUUAAUGGAAAUGGAACUGACCCCAACCCUGAUGCGUGUGUCAUGUUGUGCGACUUAUUGCCGCGUUCAAAACAACCGGGAACACUGAAAAAUAUUAGGUUCAAAUCAUGAUGCCAGUGAUCUUCAGGUCGGAAAGUCGGAGCUCUAGAAAGAGGCCAGAGGUCCCGAGUUGGAAUUCCGAGUUGGAUGACCGUUCAAAGCGAUUGUUCCCAGUCGGAGCUCGUUUCUUUCCCAGUUCCCAGUUGGUUUGAAUGCGGCAUUAACCUUCACUUGACGCUACCAGUUCACCCUCAAGAAGAGGGGGGUGUAAGCAGUCUCUGUAUAGUAUUAUUAUUAUUAUUAUUAUAGUAGAUAGUGCUGCAGUCACACAUUUGCCUUCAGUAUUAGACACAUGAACAUGUUCAGAGACCCACUAAAAAAAGGUAUAU